GAUGAACACUGGCGGCUUGCCUAAUACAUGCUAGUCGAGCGAACAGACCACGAGCUUGCUCCUCUGACGUUAGCGGCGGACGGCCUGAGCAACACCUGGAUAACCUACCUAUACUACUGGGAUAACUUCCGGAAACCGGAGCUAAUACCGGAUAACAAGUUGAACCGCAUGGUUCAACAGGGAAAGACGGUCUUGCUGUCACUUAUAGAUGGAUCCGCGCCGAAUUAUCUAGUUGGCAAGGUAACCCCUUACCAACGCAACGAUGCCUAUCCGACCUGGGAGGGUGAUCGGCCACACUGAAACUGACACACAGUCCAUACUCCUACGGAGAGCAUGAGUAUGCAAUCUUCCGCACUGGGCGAAAGCCCUGACCGACCAACGCCACGUGAGUGAAAAAGGUCUUCGGAUCGUAAAACUCUGUUAUUAGGGAAGAACAAAUGUGUGAGUAACCAUGCACGGUCGUGACCGCACCAUAUUCAAAAAGCCCACGGCUAACUACGAUGCCAUCAGCCGCGGUAAUACUUAGGUGGUAAGCGUCAUCCCGAAAUAUUGGGCGUAAAACCCACGUAGAGCGGCUCUUAAGUCUGAUGUGAAAGCCCACGGGCUCAACCGUGGAGGGUCAUUGGAAACUGGAAAACUUGAGUGCAGAAGAGGAAAGUGGAAUUCCCUGUGUAGCGGUGAAAUGCGCCGAGAUAUGGAGGAACACCAGUGGCGAAGGGGACUUUCUGGUCUGUAACUGACGCUGAUGUGCGAAAGCGUGGGGAUCAAACAGGAUUAAAUACCCUGGUAGUCCACGCCGUAAACGAUGAGUGCUAAGUGUUAGGGGGUUUCCCCCCCUUAGUGCUGCAGCUAACGCAUUAAUCACUCCCCCUGGGGAGUACGACCGCGAGGUUGAAACUCACAGGAGUUGUAGGGGACCCCCACACGCGGUGGAGCAUGUGGUUUAAUUCUUAGCACCGCGAAGAACCUUACCAAAUCUUGACAUCCUCUGAUCCCUCUAGAGAUAGAGUUUUCCCCUUCUGGGGACAGAGUGACCGGUGGUGCAUGGCUGUCCCCACCUCCCGUCCUGGGAAGUUGGGUUUAGUCCCGCCACUAGCGCCACCCUUAACCUUAUUCUCCUUCCUUAAGUCGGGGCACUCUAAGUUGACUGCCCGUGACCCCACCCUAGUAAGGUGGCCGAUACGUCACAUCCCUAUGCCCCCUUAUCCAUUGGGCCUACACCCUUGCUAAAUUGACCAAUACAACGGUGUAUCAAUACCCCUGAGGCCACUCUUUCCUUUUCAAUUGCUCCUCGCCUCGGAUUGUAGUCCGCCCUCUCGCCUCCCUGUAAGCUGGACCCGCUAGUUUUCCUAUACUCAACCUGCUCCCGCGGAAUCCGCCCUGGGUAU
RNAcentral lists this ribosomal RNA (1388 nucleotides) under uncultured bacterium. RNAcentral's name for it is "partial 16S ribosomal RNA". It matches the Rfam family "Bacterial small subunit ribosomal RNA", at positions 28 to 1381 of the family's 1533-position model. The record is from RNAcentral.